Molecule: ribosomal RNA, 448 nt
Filed under: uncultured bacterium
Lineage: Bacteria
Description: bacterial SSU rRNA
Rfam family: Bacterial small subunit ribosomal RNA
Source: RNAcentral
AACGAACGCUGGCGGCAGGCCUAACACAUGCAAGUCGAACGCCCCGCAAGGGGAGUGGCAGACGGGUGAGUAACACGUGGGAACGUACCCUUCGGUUCGGGAUAACUCAGGGAAACUUGAGCUAAUACCGGAUACGUCCGAGAGGAGAAAGAUUUAUCGCCGAGGGAUCGGCCCGCGUCUGAUUAGCUUGUUGGUGAGGUAACGGCUCACCAAGGCGACGAUCAGUAGCUGGUCUGAGAGGAUGAUCAGCCACAUUGGGACUGAGACACGGCCCAAACUCCUACGGGAGGCAGCAGUGGGGAAUAUUGGACAAUGGGCGCAAGCCUGAUCCAGCCAUGCCGCGUGAGUGAUGAAGGCCCUAGGGUUGUAAAGUCCUUUCGGCGGGGAAGAUAAUGACGGUACCCGCAGAAGAAGCCCCGGCUAACUUCGUGCCAGCCGCCGCAGUAAC